AUGUACUGCGGUGCUCCGGUUCCUCCGCGCCGACUGCACCCACCUGACGGCUGCUCGCUACGUCGUGUUAACC
This 73-nucleotide small RNA is filed under the name Xanthomonas campestris. RNAcentral describes it as "sX9 sRNA". It matches the Rfam family "Xanthomonas sRNA sX9". The record is from RNAcentral. Lineage: Bacteria; Pseudomonadati; Pseudomonadota; Gammaproteobacteria; Lysobacterales; Lysobacteraceae.